RNAcentral lists this ribosomal RNA (491 nucleotides) under uncultured Gammaproteobacteria bacterium. Its description in RNAcentral is "bacterial SSU rRNA". It matches the Rfam family "Bacterial small subunit ribosomal RNA", at positions 30 to 509 of the family's 1533-position model. The record is from RNAcentral. Lineage: Bacteria; Pseudomonadati; Pseudomonadota; Gammaproteobacteria.
AUUGAACGCUGGCGGCAUGCCUAACACAUGCAAGUCGAACGGCAGCACAGUCUAGUUUACUAGAUGGGUGGCAAGUGGCGGACGGGUGAGUAAUGCGCAGGAAUAUGCCUUAAAGUGGGGGACAACUUGGGGAAGCUCAAGCUAAUACCGCAUAAUCUCUUCGGAGAAAAGCUGGGGACCUUCGGGCCUGGCGCUUUAAGAUUAGCCUGCGUCCGAUUAGCUAGUUGGUAGGGUAAAGGCCUACCAAGGCGACGAUCGGUAGCUGGUCUGAGAGGAUGACCAGCCACACUGGAACUGAGACACGGUCCAGACUCCUACGGGAGGCAGCAGUGGGAAUAUUGGACAAUGGGGGAAACCCUGAUCCAGCAAUGCCGCGUGUGUGAAGAAGGCCUUAGGGUUGUAAAGCACUUUCAGUGGGGAGGAGGGUUAUUAGGUUAAGAGCCAGAUAAUUGGACGUUACCCGCAGAAGAAGCACCGGCUAACUCCGUGCC